CCCACCAGGCACCUGUUGCUCUACCCCAUCCCUGUGCAAGUAGAUUUCCUUUACUGUUUCAGCAUGUGCCAUAAUGUUUGGACAUGGAUUUCUAUAUUGAUUUAGACUCCUAAACAACAAUUGGCCGAGUGUGAUAGGGGAAAAGCUAAAAGGCCAAUCAUAUGCAGCAAGAGAAGGGAUCACAAUCAUGCAAUCGACGCAAAGGUGAAAAAAAAAUAUCUUUUAACCAAGCACGCAACUAUGUACUUACCCUUACGGGUUAGUGUCUCGGUAUGGAAGGAUAACGGUAUAGGAUGUCCUGAAACCAAAGAUGGCUUAAACAAGUGAUGACAGUCAGUCUACUUGGUUGAAUACCUAAACGUACCAGAAGCAUUCAGACAUUGCCGUGCAGCCCAAAAAUGCUAUUACAUGUAGGCUAUGAAUGGUCCCUGUUUGAGUGGGGUCCAAGGUCAUCACGCCUUCACCUUUCUUAGGUGCUGCAUCUACUUCAAAAAGCAGGGCUUUAAAACAUCUGUCAGAUCAAGAAUACAAACCAUCAAUUUAAUGAUAUUCAAUAGUUUCGCAAGGAUAGCAUGCCUAUUUUAAUAUGCGAAAUCUUAGUGAUGCAAAACAUAUGAAGGAGUCUCAACUUGACAAGCAAAGGGUACAAAGAUUCAUCUGUACAGUCAGCAACUCAGGAGUGCUAACUGCAGGGACAUGUGAAGCCUAUUAAUUUUGUGCUUUCCAUCCCAAGCUCAGAUCCUGAGGCAGGAGAACAUAACACCAAGAGAAAUAACAUCCUGGAGAAAAACAAAUAUCAAAGCUGCAUUAGUGUGUAAUGUGUAGAUUUAAAAAACAUUUGGAUUUAGUGAAAACCUGCAGGGACAUUCUGAGCUGACAAAGAUAAUCAUCCAAGGGAAGAUUCCUGCCAACUCCCUUUUUGCAGAUUAGGCUUAGGUCAUUCACAAAGCAAUCACAUCACCUUUCUUCAGAACAAGUGCAGAGUUCACAUGGAACAACAAGAAGAAGCAUGUGCAUUCUUGUCCUAGGCAGCCUUCACCCUUUGAGAACUCAGUCUCAGGCAGCAAUGCAAACCUCAUACUGGAAAUACCAUGAUACUGGAUUAUUUUGGAAUGCCUGCACAUGUCACAUGAGAUUAGACAACGGAAGCUUUUGCCUUUUCUUCUUAACUACCCAACCACAGAAGAGCUUGAGUGUUAGAGACAUCAUUUCCCUCGUACUGAUGUGACUAACAACACACGAUGCCAUGCUCCUAUGUUUUCGAUAUUUCACUAAUAUAGGAUGUUUUCGAUAUUUCAAUAUGGACUACAUACGGACUGGAAUGAGUGAACAAAUACACUAAAACAUGUCUAUAUACAUCUAAUUCACAAAAAAGUUAGAACAUCUUAUAUUUGUGAACCGAGGGAGUAGUUAUGUGCUGGUGUAACUUUGCUUCAGUAAAUUUGCUUGACUAAUUCGAAUUUUAGUUGUAGAUACAAACUCCCUGUCAUCAUAUCACCUUCACAAAGAAACUAGAUACGUCUUACAGAUAUAUUUGCAGCCCAGUCACUGGAUGGUAUUUUAUGGGGGAAACUAGACAGAAAAGUGGGUAAGGGAGAUGGAAAGCAUGUACGAUCAGAGCUAGCAACUAGCUCAAAUAUUAAAUUAAUCACAGAAAGUAGCAGUGUGCUCAUAGAUCACUGUUCAGCUGCCUUAGGCUUUUUUUUCUUUCAAAUCAACCUUUGACCAAGUGAAUAAAGGAUGCAUUGUGCCAAUGGUCAAGUAUAUAGACCUGUGUGACACAUGAAACAUCAUAUAAGUUCGCGAUAAAUAAAACAGUGACAUAUGCACUCAAAAGCAGAGCCGCUCAAUGAUCUGGUUACCUUAUUAAAUUACCUUGAUAGGACAAGCAAACAACAGACCUACGAUUCCAUAGCUAAUUAGUUUAAAAUGUCCAGGAAAAAGAAAUCAGUUUCAGGUAAACCAAGAUCGUCUAAAUAUGAAAACCAUAUGCAGUAGAACAUUCAACGUUACAGACUGCAGCAACUUGGAAACUGAAUUUUUUACCUGUAAUAUACGGUAGCAGGAAAAGAAAGGUUAAGAAUCAGCCGUAAGAUGAUUCUCGCAUCAUGGUUCAUGAAUCCUUUCCAU
This 2130-nucleotide long non-coding RNA is filed under the name Hordeum vulgare. RNAcentral describes it as "long non-coding RNA (HVUL_LNC013243)". The record is from RNAcentral. Lineage: Eukaryota; Viridiplantae; Streptophyta; Magnoliopsida; Poales; Poaceae.